AGAUGGAGAUGUUUUGCAAUUGUCUUGAAGAGUCGACAUUGCACUCAUCUCGGUCUGA
This 58-nucleotide microRNA precursor is filed under the name Patiria miniata (bat star). RNAcentral describes it as "Pmi-Mir-92-o21_pre stem-loop". The record is from RNAcentral. Lineage: Eukaryota; Metazoa; Echinodermata; Asteroidea; Valvatida; Asterinidae.